Molecule: ribosomal RNA, 408 nt
Filed under: Triticum aestivum (bread wheat)
Lineage: Eukaryota; Viridiplantae; Streptophyta; Magnoliopsida; Poales; Poaceae
Description: partial small subunit ribosomal RNA
Source: RNAcentral
AUGGCCUUGCAUGAGACUUUGCAUGGCAUGAUGUCACAUAAGGAUGUGAGGGACGAGAAGAAGCGGCAAAGCAAGGACGAGCAAAUGAAGCAAUACCUAGACCUUCAAAGACAGAAGCUUGAGAUGGAGGAGGCGGCCAAGAAGAGGAAGAUAGACAUGGAGGAGGUGGCCCGGCAAAGGCAGCUCGACAUGGAAGAGGCCGCCCGGCAAAGGCAGCUCGACAUCGAGGCCGACAACGUCAAGGCCAGGCAGAGGCAGCUCGACAUCGAGGCCACCAAUGCCGCCACCAAAGCGAAGGAGGUGGCCUUUGCGAUCAUGAGCGUGGACUUGUUGAAGAUGAGCGACAAGAUGAGGGCCUGGUUCGAGGCCAGGCAGAAGGAGAUGCUCGACACCGAAGGCCUGAACUAG